ACAAGGCAAAAGCAAAGCUCAUUGUAGUUUUGACGCGUGGAGGGACAACAGCUAAGUUGGUAGCCAAGUACAGACCAGCUGUCCCAAUCCUCUCUGUGGUUGUUCCAGUCUUGACGACUGACUCAUUUGAUUGGACCUGCAGUGAUGAGACACCGGCAAGGCACAGUCUGAUAUAUAGGGGCUUGAUUCCUCUUUUGGCAGAAGGAUCCGCUAAGGCUACUGAUGCAGAAUCCACUGAGGUUAUUUUGGAAGCUGCUUUAAAUUCAUCGACUGAGAGGGGUUUGUGCAAGCCUGGUGAUGCUGUUGUUGCCCUCCAUCGAAUUGG
This 325-nucleotide unclassified non-coding RNA is filed under the name Hevea brasiliensis (rubber tree). The record is from RNAcentral. Lineage: Eukaryota; Viridiplantae; Streptophyta; Magnoliopsida; Malpighiales; Euphorbiaceae.